Molecule: ribosomal RNA, 466 nt
Filed under: uncultured bacterium
Lineage: Bacteria
Description: partial 16S ribosomal RNA
Rfam family: Bacterial small subunit ribosomal RNA
Source: RNAcentral
GAUGAACGCUGGCGGCGUGCUUAACACAUGCAAGUCGAACGGAAAGGCUCCUGCUUGCAGGGGUACUCGAGUGGCGAACGGGUGAGUAACACGUGGGUGAUCUGCCCUGCACUUCGGGAUAAGCCUGGGAAACUGGGUCUAAUACCGGAUAGGACGAUGGCUUGGAUGCCAUUGUGGAAAGUUUUUUCGGUGGUGGUUGAGCGUGCGGCCUAUCAGCUUGUUGGUGGGGGAAUGGCCGACCAAGGCGUCGACGGGUAGCCGGCCUGGGAGGGUGUACGGCCACAUUGGGACUGAGAUACGGCCCAGACUCCUACGGGAGGCAGCAGUGGGGAAUAUUGCACAAUGGGCGCAAGCCUGAUGCAGCGACGCCGCGUGGGGGAUGACGGCCUUCGGGUUGUAAACUCCUUUCGCUAGGGACGAAGCGCAAGUGACGGUACCUGGAGAAGAAGCACCGGCUAACUACGUG